This 117-nucleotide ribosomal RNA is filed under the name Ruminococcus bromii L2-63. Lineage: Bacteria; Bacillati; Bacillota; Clostridia; Eubacteriales; Oscillospiraceae. The record is from RNAcentral.
UGGUGUUGAUGACGCUGAGGGUCCACCUGUUCCCAUACCGAACACAGAAGUUAAGCUCAGUGGUGCCGAAAAUACUUGGCUGGUGACGGCCCGGGAAGAUAGGGAGAUGCCAACACA